GGCACUGGAGUCAGUGGCUGCUUUGUGAAGAAGAAAGAGUCAGUGCCCUGAGGAGCUGUCCACGAGAAAUACCAAGAAGCUGAAAAAUGAGUUUCAUGGAGAAAGCGAGAGAAUGAACAUGGAAAAGCAGAAUAGAAAAAUUCUGGAAAAUAAGAAGCAGUUUUGUUCUUCCUUUCAUUACCCUUGUCUGCUUCUGGGAAUUAGAUUAAGUAAACCUAAAAGACAGGACACGAGGAAAAAAAGAAGACAUCCAAAAUUCAUACUUACAUUAACAGAACAAUACCCUGAAAGGGAAAUCAUGCCAAAAGUUGCAUCUGUGCCUUUUGCAAGAUGGUGAUAAAAAAGCAAAAGAAAUCUCUCAAUUUUCAAGAUAGCUUCAAAAAGAAAGCAACCAGACAUGGAACUACCUCCCACACUUCGCUGCCAGCGGCUCUUGCAUGUGAUGUCCUUGGAUACCCAAAAGAUUAGCCAGUCUCAUCCACCUGGCCCAUGUCACAGGGAUCAAGGACAUUUCUCCAUCUGCAAACUUAAGCUCAUGCUCUCUGAAAGUGAAGAGAACAAAUUGAAAGUUAGAGUCUGAGAAGACUAAUAGGGGCAUCUCAUUCUUGAUGGGGGCAACAGUCCUCUCAUGUGGCAAUGCAUUAUGAGCAACAAAGAAGCAGAAGUCCAGAAAUUGGAUGAAGUUUCAGCCUCUCAGUGGUCAUUGACUCAGGACCAGAUUGAGCAGAGAAUAAGGUCACAUUUUGAUUGGAAAGGCAUCUGAUUGUCAGCUGCAGCCUGUGAAAGACCAAGUCAAGGACCUAAAACCAAAUAUGGGCUUUGCACUUGACUGAUGUGAAAUUCAUGUUUGUGUUUUGGUCUGGUUUCACAGACAUUAAAUGAGAGUCUACAUUUGUGGUGGCAUGUAGUCAAAAUUGCUCUUGGCCAGCUGGAUACCACAUGCCUUUCUUGAAUUCAGAGAAUUAUUACACUGGAUCAUUAAACUUCUAAUUUAAUGUUCAUUAUACCUGAAGAAAUUAUUUUCCUCUUUUGGUGCUGUGUCCUUUUCUGUUUUUCUUGCUGCAAGUUUAAUAACUACCAAACCUUAUCUUCCUCUUAAGAAGAAACAACUGCUUUUAAUCUAACAGAAAGCAUGUAUUCUUGAGAAAUCAAUGAUUCUGUCAUCCUAAACAUGCUGCCAUCAACACUGAAAAUAAAGCUUGAGCUCAUUUGGAUUCUGAAUUACUAAAGGUGUGGGACAUCAAAAUGUUUUCCCUAGAGGCCAAAGAAGGUGGAGCUUUGGUCUCUUUUUGACUUCUCACAAGAUUCUCUGUGGCCAGGAAGCUGUUGUCCUUGAGAUGUCUGUAUUGACACUUAUCUACAAGUCACUUAUCCAGUUAUCCAGCAACUGUUUCUUAAAUUCUUUUCUGAAGUGUAAGGCUGGCAUUUUCUGGAUGUACCUCCAUGUAGGCACAUCUCCAUCUUUACUGGUUUCCCAGCUGAAUUUCUGCUCAAAGUGGAUUGAUAGAGGUGUGUGUGAAUCAAGUACACAGCUGGGCACUCCUCAUACUCUUCUGUAUUUCCAGAUGUAGCUGACUGUCAUUGUGGAGGGACUUCAUUGCUCUUUGUAAAGGAUUUAGCCUGUGCAAGAGAAGGGUCACAUUCUGAGUAGUCAGACAAAACCAUCUGUGUGCAGUGGGAAGAGUGACAUGAAGAUUUCAGUGGCUCAUCCAGGCUUUGCUAGAAAGUCAUGGGAGUUUGGGAAGAGUCUUGAAAUGGGACUGAGAUACAUGAUGAGGAGGCUUGUGAUGCAAAGAGUCUAUAGGGACAGUAUUACAAAGUUCAUAUAAGACUCUUCUGUUUUAUCUGUGCUCUGUUACUGUCUUU
Molecule: long non-coding RNA, 1866 nt
Organism: Zonotrichia leucophrys gambelii
Lineage: Eukaryota; Metazoa; Chordata; Aves; Passeriformes; Passerellidae
Exons: 4
Source: RefSeq, a predicted model, not a curated record